RNAcentral lists this transfer RNA (72 nucleotides) under Rattus norvegicus (Norway rat). It matches the Rfam family "tRNA". From Rfam's summary of the family: Transfer RNA (tRNA) molecules are approximately 80 nucleotides in length. Lineage: Eukaryota; Metazoa; Chordata; Mammalia; Rodentia; Muridae. The record is from Rfam by way of RNAcentral.
GGGGAUUUAGCUCAGUGGUAGAGCACUUGCCUAGCAAGCACAAGGCCCUGGGUUCAGUCCCCAGCUCCCCCC